Molecule: ribosomal RNA, 348 nt
Filed under: uncultured bacterium
Lineage: Bacteria
Description: partial 16S ribosomal RNA
Rfam family: Bacterial small subunit ribosomal RNA
Source: RNAcentral
CCUACGGUGCGCAGCAGUGAGGAAUAUUGGUCAAUGGCCGGAAGGCUGAACCAGCCAUGCCGCGUGAAGGUCAGUGCCCUAUGGGCGUUAAACUUCUUUUGUGCGGGAGCAAUAAUGGUCACGUGUGGCCAGACGAGAGUACCGUACGAAUCAGCAUCGGCUAACUCCGUGCCAGCAGCCGCGGGAAUUCGGGGGAUGCAAGCGUUAUCCGGAGUGAUUGGGUUUAAAGGGUGCGUAGGCUGUGAGGUAAGUCAGCGGUGAAAAGCCCCCGCUCAACGGGGUGAAGUGCCAUUGAUACUGCCGUGCUGGAAUGCGUAUGCCGUGGGAGGAAUGUGUGGUGUAGCGGUG